This is a non-coding RNA of Stegodyphus mimosarum, 73 nucleotides long. NCBI's taxonomy places the organism in Eukaryota, Metazoa, Arthropoda, Arachnida, Araneae, Eresidae. The record is from Rfam.
GCCUUCAUGGUGUAGUGGUCAGCACGCUCGACGUGUAUUCGAGAGGCCAGUGGUUCGAGUCCCGGCGAGGGCA